Molecule: transfer RNA, 60 nt
Filed under: Dipodomys ordii (Ord's kangaroo rat)
Lineage: Eukaryota; Metazoa; Chordata; Mammalia; Rodentia; Heteromyidae
Rfam family: tRNA
About the family: Transfer RNA (tRNA) molecules are approximately 80 nucleotides in length. Their secondary structure includes four short double-helical elements and three loops (D, anti-codon, and T loops).
Source: Rfam by way of RNAcentral
GUAGCUCAGUGGUAGAGUGCUUGCCUUGCAUGUAGGAGGCCCUGGGUUCGAUUCCUUAGC